This 1247-nucleotide ribosomal RNA is filed under the name metagenome. RNAcentral describes it as "bacterial LSU rRNA". It matches the Rfam family "Bacterial large subunit ribosomal RNA", at positions 1564 to 2820 of the family's 2925-position model. The record is from RNAcentral.
UGAAUACGAGACGCUAAGGCGUCGAAGUAGUGUAUGUCAUACUUCCAAGAAAAGCUUGCACUGUCAUAGAUAAAAAACGCCUGUACCAUAACCGACACAGGUGGGUAGGUAGAGUAUACUAAGGGGCGCGAGAUAACUCUCUCUAAGGAACUCGGCAAAAUAACUCCGUAACUUCGGGAGAAGGAGUGCCUUAUUCGUAAGGUUGCAAUAACAAGAUCCAAGCAACUGUUUAUCAAAAACACAGGUCUCCGCUAAGUCGUAAGACGAUGUAUGGGGGCUGACGCCUGCCCAGUGCCAGAAGGUUAAAGAAGUUGGUUAGCAAUUGCGAAGCUGAUAACUGAAGCCCUGGUGAACGGCGGCCGUAACAAUAACGGUCCUAAGGUAGCGAAAUUCCUUGUCGGGUAAGUUCCGACCCGCACGAAAGGCGUAAUGAUUUGGAUACUGUCUCGGAGAGGGGCUCGGUGAAAUAGACUUGUCUGUGAAGAUGCGGACUACCUGCACCAGGACAGAAAGACCCUAUGAAGCUUUACUGUAACUUGAAAUUGAAAUUGGACUUUAUUCGCGCAGUAUAGGUGGGAGGCGUUGAUUAUAAUCUUGUGGGAUUAUUGGAGCCAUCAGUGAGAUACCACUCUUGUAAUGUUAGAUUUCUAACUUUGAAUCAUUAUCUGGUCAAAGAACAGUUUCAGGCGGGCAGUUUGACUGGGGCGGUCGCCUCCUAAACGGUAACGGAGGCGUACAAAGGUUUCCUCUGAACGGUUAGAAAUCGUAUCUAGAGUGUAAAGGCAUAAGGAAGCUUGACUGUGAGACCUACAAGUCGAGCAGGGACGAAAGUCGGUCUUAGUGAUCUGACGGUACUGAGUGGAAAGGCCGUCACUCAACGGAUAAAAGUUACUCUAAGGAUAACAGGCUGAUCUCCCCCAAGAGUUCACAUCGACGGGGAGGUUUGGCACCUCGAUGUCGGCUCAUCGCAUCCUGGGGCGGUAGUACGUCCCAAGGGUUGGGCUGUUCGCCCAUGAAAGCGGUACGCGAGCUGGGUUCAGAACGUCGUGAGACAGUUCGGUCCAUAUCCGGUGUAGGCGUUAGAAUAUUGAGAGGAGCCUUCUUUAGUACGAGAGGACCGAGAAGGACAUACCUCUGGUGUACCAGUUAUCGUGCCAACGGUAAACGCUGGGUAGCUAUGUAUGGAGUGGAUAACCGCUGAAAGCAUCUAAGUGGGAAGCCCACCUCAAGAUAAGUAUUCUCAUCAG